UGGGGAAUAUUGGACAAUGGGCGGAAGCCUGAUCCAGCAACGCCGCGUGAGGGAUGACGGCCUUCGGGUUGUAAACCUCUUUCAGCACAGACGAAGCGCAAGUGACGGUAUGUGCAGAAGAAGGACCGGCCAACUACGUGCCAGCAGCCGCGGUAAUACGUAGGGUCCGAGCGUUGUCCGGAAUUAUUGGGCGUAAAGGGCUCGUAGGCGGUUUGUCGCGUCGGGAGUGAAAACACCAGGCUUAACUUGGUGCUUGCUUUCGAUACGGGCAGACUUGAGGCAUGCAGGGGAGAACGGAAUUCCUGGUGUAGCGGUGAAAUGCGCAGAUAUCAGGAGGAACACCGGUGGCGAAGGCGGUUCUCUGGGCAUGUUCUGACGCUGAGGAGCGAAAGUGUGGGGAGCGAACA
Molecule: ribosomal RNA, 407 nt
Filed under: uncultured Nocardioides sp.
Lineage: Bacteria; Bacillati; Actinomycetota; Actinomycetes; Propionibacteriales; Nocardioidaceae
Description: partial 16S ribosomal RNA
Rfam family: Bacterial small subunit ribosomal RNA
Source: RNAcentral